AUGUGGUUUCUUGGAUCCAUGGAAACAAUAAAUCUGGAUAAACAUGAGGGCAGCCCUGCUGCUUCUCUGGUUUUCUUAGUGAUCUGUCCUGAUAGAAGCUUGGAAAGAAGAGAUGAAAUCCCAGGAGAAAACAUUGGCCUCCUUUUCCAAAAGGUUCCAGAUUUGCUCCCCUUUGAGAAGGCAAGAAAUACAAAACAUAACAAAUAUGAAGUCAUGGAAAACAAAACUAAUGUUUAUUGAACUGAAUUUAAUGGAAGGCAGCCGGACAUAACAGAUGGAGCUGGUCUUAGAAUCAGAAAGAAUUCAACUCAUGUCUUGCCACAUACUAGCUGUGAUUUGUUGGACCUUAACCUCUCUAUGCUCUUGUCAACAAAGACUGUAAAUUGCAGCAGUGUUGUUAAUCUGUGUUUAUAUUGGUAGAGGGCAUUCUUUACACCAACGAAACCACAGAAUCCGGCUUUAAAAAAACAAAAACAUAAA
This 480-nucleotide long non-coding RNA is filed under the name Vombatus ursinus (common wombat). RNAcentral describes it as "lncRNA (ENSVURG00010007977.1)". Lineage: Eukaryota; Metazoa; Chordata; Mammalia; Diprotodontia; Vombatidae. The record is from RNAcentral.